Molecule: long non-coding RNA, 1354 nt
Organism: Drosophila albomicans
Lineage: Eukaryota; Metazoa; Arthropoda; Insecta; Diptera; Drosophilidae
Exons: 3
Source: RefSeq, a predicted model, not a curated record
GAGGAAUGUCACUCGCACUUUGGCUCAGUAAUCUAACAAAUUUAAUUAAUGUCUGGUCCACAGCCGAACCUUGUGAUUAACUAGAGGACAGUAAACGUGAAUGCCACUAAAUACUUAUUUAAAGAAAAGGACACGAAGCGAGUUCGAGGAAUCUGCAGAACUGGCAGUUGUCAAAGGACGAGCAUGCAGACCAAAACAGACAGCAGAACAACAGCAAGAAAAGCACAUAAAAUGGACAAAGAUUCACACACACACGCACGCUGGCAAGUAAAGCGGAAACUAGGAACGCUAACGGAAAUGCAGCAGCUUUAUAAGGAAACAGCUUGGACAAGUUGGCAAGGCAGAAAAACAGAAAGAGAGACAGAUAGAAUAGCACAGGCAAGGAGCAAGCUGGCCUGGCAGUCAAGUGGCCCUGGUUUCAACUAAAACUAGACGCCCGAGUUGUUAUUUCUGAUUUUGUUGGUUUUACAGUUAACGGACUCUCAGCUGUGGCAUGCUUCGUAAAGCUGCAAUGGGCGGCACUUGGCGGCUGACUUUGAUUCUAUUUAAAGCAAACAACACACACAAAUGAUGCCCCGUUCGUGCCUUGUCUUGCCCAACUGAACUUCGACUACUGUUACUGCAACUGCAACUGUAACUGCAAUACCAUUAAAGUAAAUUAUGUGGCAAAUGACAAAUGCAACGUUGAAAGCAAAAAGAGGAAACAGAGGAAAACGUAGAACCGCAAAACUUAGCAAUGAUGCAUAAGUGUUCAUGUAUUUCGGCAUUACUUAAACUCAACAUGGAAGCGCAACGCAAAAGUUUCUUAAACAUUUUCCCGACGCUCGUCAUCUGUCAGCAUCAGCAUCAGCAUCAGUAUCAGCGUCAGCGUCAUUGGCGUUGUGUUCAUAAAACCAAAAACCACCUUUGGGCCAAUGGGAACUGGCAAUGGCAUUGAACACUGUCAAGGGGAUGUUUGUGCCAAUUUUAUUGAAAUUGCGUAAGUGUUGCUCCUCUGUCGUCACACAGUCAAAGAGUCUUUCCGCUGAUGCAUUUACCUAUCACCUGCCUUGUUUUUACAUUUUCUUUUUUCUCCUCUCUACUUCUGUUUCAUUUCUGUUUCUGGCUGUCACUUCCGUCACUUUGAUGUGGGUGCCGUGAUAUUGAACUGAAAAUUCUUCGAAAUGUUUAAUGAAAAAUCUCGGUGAUUAAACAAUCGAUGGCGAUCAACACAACUGAUGAAAUAUGUUCUUAAUUGAUGGAAAAAUUAAAUUGUAAUGCUUCCAGUUUUGUGUUAAUUCUUGAAAAGUCACUUUGCAUUAUUUUCAAUAUUAAUUCAAAAUACAUUUCUUGCAAAGUAUCUGCUACCGCAAGA